Molecule: ribosomal RNA, 1489 nt
Filed under: Lactiplantibacillus plantarum
Lineage: Bacteria; Bacillati; Bacillota; Bacilli; Lactobacillales; Lactobacillaceae
Description: bacterial SSU rRNA
Rfam family: Bacterial small subunit ribosomal RNA
Source: RNAcentral
GACGAACGCUGGCGGCGUGCCUAAUACAUGCAAGUCGAACGAACUCUGGUAUUGAUUGGUGCUUGCAUCAUGAUUUACAUUUGAGUGAGUGGCGAACUGGUGAGUAACACGUGGGAAACCUGCCCAGAAGCGGGGGAUAACACCUGGAAACAGAUGCUAAUACCGCAUAACAACUUGGACCGCAUGGUCCGAGUUUGAAAGAUGGCUUCGGCUAUCACUUUUGGAUGGUCCCGCGGCGUAUUAGCUAGAUGGUGGGGUAACGGCUCACCAUGGCAAUGAUACGUAGCCGACCUGAGAGGGUAAUCGGCCACAUUGGGACUGAGACAUGGCCCAAACUCCUACGGGAGGCAGCAGUAGGGAAUCUUCCACAAUGGACGAAAGUCUGAUGGAGCAACGCCGCGUGAGUGAAGAAGGGUUUCGGCUCGUAAAACUCUGUUGUUAAAGAAGAACAUAUCUGAGAGUAACUGUUCAGGUAUUGACGGUAUUUAACCAGAAAGCCACGGCUAACUACGUGCCAGCAGCCGCGGUAAUACGUAGGUGGCAAGCGUUGUCCGGAUUUAUUGGGCGUAAAGCGAGCGCAGGCGGUUUUUUAAGUCUGAUGUGAAAGCCUUCGGCUCAACCGAAGAAGUGCAUCGGAAACUGGGAAACUUGAGUGCAGAAGAGGACAGUGGAACUCCAUGUGUAGCGGUGAAAUGCGUAGAUAUAUGGAAGAACACCAGUGGCGAAGGCGGCUGUCUGGUCUGUAACUGACGCUGAGGCUCGAAAGUAUGGGUAGCAAACAGGAUUAGAUACCCUGGUAGUCCAUACCGUAAACGAUGAAUGCUAAGUGUUGGAGGGUUUCCGCCCUUCAGUGCUGCAGCUAACGCAUUAAGCAUUCCGCCUGGGGAGUACGGCCGCAAGGCUGAAACUCAAAGGAAUUGACGGGGGCCCGCACAAGCGGUGGAGCAUGUGGUUUAAUUCGAAGCUACGCGAAGAACCUUACCAGGUCUUGACAUACUAUGCAAAUCUAAGAGAUUAGACGUUCCCUUCGGGGACAUGGAUACAGGUGGUGCAUGGUUGUCGUCAGCUCGUGUCGUGAGAUGUUGGGUUAAGUCCCGCAACGAGCGCAACCCUUAUUAUCAGUUGCCAGCAUUAAGUUGGGCACUCUGGUGAGACUGCCGGUGACAAACCGGAGGAAGGUGGGGAUGACGUCAAAUCAUCAUGCCCCUUAUGACCUGGGCUACACACGUGCUACAAUGGAUGGUACAACGAGUUGCGAACUCGCGAGAGUAAGCUAAUCUCUUAAAGCCAUUCUCAGUUCGGAUUGUAGGCUGCAACUCGCCUACAUGAAGUCGGAAUCGCUAGUAAUCGCGGAUCAGCAUGCCGCGGUGAAUACGUUCCCGGGCCUUGUACACACCGCCCGUCACACCAUGAGAGUUUGUAACACCCAAAGUCGGUGGGGUAACCUUUUAGGAACCAGCCGCCUAAGGUGGGACAGAUGAUUAGGGUG